AGGAUUUAUGGGAAAUUUAUCAUAAGAAAUUGAGGAUGGGUCGGAAUUACCAUAAGUAAUUAAUGUAAUGGUCGAAUAAUAUUCUUUGAAAAUUCAAGAUUUUUAAUGUGAAAAAUUCUUAAGCGAAAUUAUAAAUUUAAAUUAAAAUAGGGGUUAAUGAGUUAAGUGAAUUGCAAAUUGAUAAAUCAGUUUCCUUUGGGAAAGAAAUAG
RNAcentral lists this long non-coding RNA (210 nucleotides) under Carica papaya (papaya). Its description in RNAcentral is "long non-coding RNA (CPAP_LNC013049)". The record is from RNAcentral. Lineage: Eukaryota; Viridiplantae; Streptophyta; Magnoliopsida; Brassicales; Caricaceae.